This 229-nucleotide ribosomal RNA is filed under the name uncultured bacterium. RNAcentral describes it as "partial 16S ribosomal RNA". It matches the Rfam family "Bacterial small subunit ribosomal RNA", at positions 568 to 796 of the family's 1533-position model. The record is from RNAcentral.
UGCGUAGGCGGCCUGGUAAGUCAGAGGUGAAAGCUCGCAGCUUAACUGUGGAAUUGCCUUUGAUACUGUCAGGCUUGAAUCAGGCUGAGGUAGGCGGAAUGUGGCAUGUAGCGGUGAAAUGCUUAGAUAUGCCAUAGAACACCAAUUGCGAAGGCAGCUUACUAGACCUGAAUUGACGCUGAGGCACGAAAGCGUGGGGAGCGAACAGGAUUAGAUACCCUGGUAGUCC